RNAcentral lists this long non-coding RNA (857 nucleotides) under Solanum tuberosum (potato). Its description in RNAcentral is "long non-coding RNA (STUB_LNC005975)". Lineage: Eukaryota; Viridiplantae; Streptophyta; Magnoliopsida; Solanales; Solanaceae. The record is from RNAcentral.
UGAAGAGAGACCAGCCAUCUCAUCUAUCAAUUGCUGUCUUAGUUGCUGCUGUGUGCGGAUGCUUUCCAAGCCAAGCAUGUCCAUGUCCAAAUCCAAGUCCCGAGCGUUUAGAGAUGUCUUUAGCCUACUGCCAGGAAGCUGUAAUGCAGGUGGGGUGAUGUUCACCUUGUUCUGCCACAUGUUUCCACCCAUUGGAGACGAACAUGUUACAGCAGGAGACAUCGGUGGUGUUGAAGUAGCAGGCAGUAACAUGGACGAAGAACCAAGAGCCAGAGGGCUCAAUGUUGACAUAUCCAUCGAGCCGGCUGGACUAGCCUUUGGAGAAGGGAUAGCUGAACCAGUUGACGCAUACAAGGGGCGUAGCUCUUCAGGCUUGUGAGCAAAGAAGCAAACUUUCCUUGAGCACCCGGUCUCAUCCUUGCAGAGACGGGUUCUAUAUUGGGCAGGAUGAAGCCAUGACUCGAAUACACCAUGAGCAUACUCACAAGAAUCAUUCUUUGCACAAACACCUUUCUUGAACUCGGGACAUGGAACACAAGUAUAGUUAUACUUCCUUGGAUCGCGUCUCCUUGCGUUCUCCCCUGGAUGAACAAAAGGGCAUUCAGUCCAAUCAUGAGAAUAUGCCCUUGAACAUGGCUUAACCUUGAAACAAUACAUCCUGAAAUCAUCACUCCCAUAAAUCCCAUCAUUUAUGUCCGGCAAGGAAGUAUCAAUCGGAUACUCUUUCUUCUCGCUUCCUUCUUUCGUCAUCUGGAUUGCUGCUUUUCCUUCUUCUUCCUCCUCCAGCUCAGCAAGCUCAGCCAAGCACCCAUUCAACAACUCCAGUGACUUCCUUUUCGAAUUCCUCAAGGACUUAG